AGAGGGGUGCAAGCGUUAAUCGGGAAUUACUGGGCGUAAAGGGCGCGUAGGCGGAUAUUUAAGUUAGAUGUGAAAUCCCUGGGGCUUAACCUAGGAACUGCAUUUAAAACUGGGUAUCUAGAGUAUUGUAGAGGGUAGUGGAAUUUCCGGUGUAGCGGUGAAAUGCGUAGAGAUCGGAAGGAACACCAGUGGCGAAGGCGGCUACCUGGACAAAUACUGACGCUGAGGCGCGAAAGCGUGGGGAGCAAACAGGAUUAGAUACCCUGGUAGUCCACGCUGUAAACGAUGAGAACUAGAUGUUGGCCAGCUUGACUGGUUAGUGUCGCAGCUAACGCGAUAAGUUCUCCGCCUGGGAAGUACGGCCGCAAGGCUA
Molecule: ribosomal RNA, 373 nt
Filed under: uncultured organism
Description: partial 16S ribosomal RNA
Rfam family: Bacterial small subunit ribosomal RNA
Source: RNAcentral